Molecule: ribosomal RNA, 2787 nt
Filed under: Thermus thermophilus HB8
Lineage: Bacteria; Thermotogati; Deinococcota; Deinococci; Thermales; Thermaceae
Description: 23S ribosomal RNA from Thermus thermophilus HB8 (PDB 4V51, chain DA)
Rfam family: Bacterial large subunit ribosomal RNA
Source: RNAcentral
GGUCAAGAUGGUAAGGGCCCACGGUGGAUGCCUCGGCACCCGAGCCGAUGAAGGACGUGGCUACCUGCGAUAAGCCAGGGGGAGCCGGUAGCGGGCGUGGAUCCCUGGAUGUCCGAAUGGGGGAACCCGGCCGGCGGGAACGCCGGUCACCGCGCUUGCGCGGGGGGAACCUGGGGAACUGAAACAUCUCAGUACCCAGAGGAGAGGAAAGAGAAAUCGACUCCCUGAGUAGCGGCGAGCGAAAGGGGACCAGCCUAAACCGUCCGGCUUGUCCGGGCGGGGUCGGGGGCCCUCGGCCGAAUCCCCAGCCUAGCCGAAGCUGUUGGGAAGCAGCGCCAGAGAGGGUGAAAGCCCCGUAGGCGAAAGGUGGGGGGAUAGGUGAGGGUACCCGAGUACCCCGUGGUUCGUGGAGCCAUGGGGGAAUCUGGGCGGACCACCGCCUAAGGCUAAGUACUCCGGGUGACCGAUAGCGCACCAGUACCGUGAGGGAAAGGUGAAAAGAACCCCGGGAGGGGAGUGAAAUAGAGCCUGAAACCGUGGGCUUACAAGCAGUCACGGCCCCAAGGGGUUGUGGCGUGCCUAUUGAAGCAUGAGCCGGCGACUCACGGUCGUGGGCGAGCUUAAGCCGUUGAGGCGGAGGCGUAGGGAAACCGAGUCCGAACAGGGCGCGUCCGCGGCCGUGGACCCGAAACCGGGCGAGCUAGCCCUGGCCAGGGUGAAGCUGGGGUGAGACCCAGUGGAGGCCCGAACCGGUGGGGGAUGCAAACCCCUCGGAUGAGCUGGGGCUAGGAGUGAAAAGCUAACCGAGCCCGGAGAUAGCUGGUUCUCCCCGAAAUGACUUUAGGGUCAGCCUCAGGCGCUGACUGGGGCCUGUAGAGCACUGAUAGGGCUAGGGGGCGCCUACCAAACCCUGUCAAACUCCGAAGGGUCCCAGGUGGAGCCUGGGAGUGAGGGCGCGAGCGAUAACGUCCGCGUCCGAGCGCGGGAACAACCGAGACCGCCAGCUAAGGCCCCCAAGUCUGGGCUAAGUGGUAAAGGAUGUGGCGCCGCGAAGACAGCCAGUCGAGUGGCGCCGCGCCGAAAAUGAUCGGGGCUUAAGCCCAGCGCCGAAGCUGCGGGUCUGGGGGAUGACCCCAGGCGGUAGGGGAGCGUUCCCGAUGCCGAUGAAGGCCGACCCGCGAGGGCGGCUGGAGGUAAGGGAAGUGCGAAUGCCGGCAUGAGUAACGAUAAAGAGGGUGAGAAUCCCUCUCGCCGUAAGCCCAAGGGUUCCUACGCAAUGGUCGUCAGCGUAGGGUUAGGCGGGACCUAAGGUGAAGCCGAAAGGCGUAGCCGAAGGGCAGCCGGUUAAUAUUCCGGCCCUUCCCGCAGGUGCGAUGGGGGGACGCUCUAGGCUAGGGGGACCGGAGCCAUGGACGAGCCCGGCCAGAAGCGCAGGGUGGGAGGUAGGCAAAUCCGCCUCCCAACAAGCUCUGCGUGGUGGGGAAGCCCGCAACCCCCCGAAGCCAGGGAGCCAAGAAAAGCCUCUAAGCACAACCUGCGGGAACCCGUACCGCAAACCGACACAGGUGGGCGGGUGCAAGAGCACUCAGGCGCGCGGGAGAACCCUCGCCAAGGAACUCUGCAAGUUGGCCCCGUAACUUCGGGAGAAGGGGUGCUCCCUGGGGUGAUGAGCCCCGGGGAGCCGCAGUGAACAGGCUCUGGCGACUGUUUACCAAAAACACAGCUCUCUGCGAACUCGUAAGAGGAGGUAUAGGGAGCGACGCUUGCCCGGUGCCGGAAGGUCAAGGGGAGGGGUGCAAGCCCCGAACCGAAGCCCCGGUGAACGGCGGCCGUAACUAUAACGGUCCUAAGGUAGCGAAAUUCCUUGUCGGGUAAGUUCCGACCUGCACGAAAAGCGUAACGACCGGAGCGCUGUCUCGGCGAGGGACCCGGUGAAAUUGAACUGGCCGUGAAGAUGCGGCCUACCCGUGGCAGGACGAAAAGACCCCGUGGAGCUUUACUGCAGCCUGGUGUUGGCUCUUGGUCGCGCCUGCGUAGGAUAGGUGGGAGCCUGGCGCCGGUGAAAUCCACCCUGGCGCGGCUGGGGGCCUAACCCUCGGAUGGGGGGACAGCGCUUGGCGGGCAGUUUGACUGGGGCGGUCGCCUCCUAAAAGGUAACGGAGGCGCCCAAAGGUCCCCUCAGGCGGGACGGAAAUCCGCCGGAGAGCGCAAGGGUAGAAGGGGGCCUGACUGCGAGGCCUGCAAGCCGAGCAGGGGCGAAAGCCGGGCCUAGUGAACCGGUGGUCCCGUGUGGAAGGGCCAUCGAUCAACGGAUAAAAGUUACCCCGGGGAUAACAGGCUGAUCUCCCCCGAGCGUCCACAGCGGCGGGGAGGUUUGGCACCUCGAUGUCGGCUCGUCGCAUCCUGGGGCUGAAGAAGGUCCCAAGGGUUGGGCUGUUCGCCCAUUAAAGCGGCACGCGAGCUGGGUUCAGAACGUCGUGAGACAGUUCGGUCUCUAUCCGCCACGGGCGCAGGAGGCUUGAGGGGGGCUCUUCCUAGUACGAGAGGACCGGAAGGGACGCACCUCUGGUUUCCCAGCUGUCCCUCCAGGGGCAUAAGCUGGGUAGCCAUGUGCGGAAGGGAUAACCGCUGAAAGCAUCUAAGCGGGAAGCCCGCCCCAAGAUGAGGCCUCCCACGGCGUCAAGCCGGUAAGGACCCGGGAAGACCACCCGGUGGAUGGGCCGGGGGUGUAAGCGCCGCGAGGCGUUGAGCCGACCGGUCCCAAUCGUCCGAGGUCUUGACCCCUCC